UACGAAGGGGGCUAGCGUUGCUCGGAAUCACUGGGCGUAAAGGGUGCGUAGGCGGGUCUUUAAGUCAGGGGUGAAAUCCUGGAGCUCAACUCCAGAACUGCCUUUGAUACUGAGGAUCUUGAGUCCGGGAGAGGUGAGUGGAACUGCGAGUGUAGAGGUGAAAUUCGUAGAUAUUCGCAAGAACACCAGUGGCGAAGGCGGCUCACUGGCCCGAUACUGACGCUGAGGCACGAAAGCCAGGGGAGCAAACGGG
RNAcentral lists this ribosomal RNA (253 nucleotides) under uncultured bacterium. RNAcentral's name for it is "partial 16S ribosomal RNA". It matches the Rfam family "Bacterial small subunit ribosomal RNA", at positions 524 to 776 of the family's 1533-position model. The record is from RNAcentral.